UACGUAGGGUGCGAGCGUUGUCCGGAAUUACUGGGCGUAAAGCGUGCGCAGGCGGUUAUGCAAGACAGAUGUGAAAUCCCCGGGCUUAACCUGGGAACUGCAUUUGUGACUGCAUAGCUGGAGUGCGGCAGAGGGGGAUGGAAUUCCGCGUGUAGCAGUGAAAUGCGUAGAUAUGCGGAGGAACACCGAUGGCGAAGGCAGAUCUCUGGGCCGUUACUGACGCUGAGGAGCGAAAGCGUGGGGAGCGAACAGG
This 253-nucleotide ribosomal RNA is filed under the name uncultured bacterium. RNAcentral describes it as "partial 16S ribosomal RNA". It matches the Rfam family "Bacterial small subunit ribosomal RNA", at positions 524 to 776 of the family's 1533-position model. The record is from RNAcentral.